RNAcentral lists this ribosomal RNA (484 nucleotides) under uncultured soil bacterium. RNAcentral describes it as "bacterial SSU rRNA". It matches the Rfam family "Bacterial small subunit ribosomal RNA", at positions 26 to 509 of the family's 1533-position model. The record is from RNAcentral.
AGAUUGAACGCUGGCGGCAUGCCUUACACAUGCAAGUCGAACGGCAGCACGGGAGCAAUCCUGGUGGCGAGUGGCGAACGGGUGAGUAAUACAUCGGAACGUGCCCAAUCGUGGGGGAUAACGCAGCGAAAGCUGUGCUAAUACCGCAUAAGAUCUACGGAUGAAAGCAGGGGAUCGCAAGACCUUGCGCGAAUGGAGCGGCCGAUGGCAGAUUAGGUAGUUGGUGAGGUAAAGGCUCACCAAGCCUUCGAUCUGUAGCUGGUCUGAGAGGACGACCAGCCACACUGGGACUGAGACACGGCCCAGACUCCUACGGGAGGCAGCAGUGGGGAAUUUUGGACAUGGGCGAAAGCCUGAUCCAGCCAUGCCGCGUGCAGGAUGAAGCCGUUGGUUGUAACUGCUUUGUACGAACGAAAGUCUCUUUACUAAUAAGAGGAUCGAUACGACGGUACGUAAGAAUAAGACGACCGACUAACUACGUACG